GUACACUACUGUGUUUCGGCUUCUCUGCGUGCUACCGCCGGGCCGGGCCGGCUCGCGCCGCUCCGCCGCCACCUGCCGCCGCCUCCGCGGGACGCGCCGACGUCACGAGCGGAGCGGAGCAGGGGAGGCCGCGCCACCGUGACGCCGCGGAUCGGGAGGAGCCACAACCGGCUCCGCCGCUGGAGGGGCGCGCUCGGGUGACGCCAUGGCGCCGCGCCGCCGCACCCCGCCUUCGUGGUGCCGCCAUGGCGACGGGGCCUGGAGCGCUCCCCCACCGCUGUUUUUGGGGGUUCGAUGUCCCCACCGAACGGAGAUUACAGGAAAAUAAAGCGCCCUGGAAAAAGUGUCCUUAGUAAUAAGUAAAUCCGCGCCUGUGUUCCAAAGUCUGACAAUUUAGUUCGACUGAGAAAAUGCAGUAGUGAACGCACGGUUUCAUUUUACGUUCCGUGAGGAGAUGGCUAAAGGCAAUAUCAGGUUGUGCCGUAGCUGGUAACCGAAGAAAGGUACCUACACUAACAUCGGCCCUCAUUGCCAGCUUUUAUUUCAGUCCGAACGCAUGUCGUGUGCACAUCUCUUUUCUGUGCUAGCUCACGUGGCGCCGGCACGUCUCCCCUUGUUCAGCAGUGGUUUCCUUAACGUGCAUUAGCUGUACCUGUCUAUUGCAACUGAAGGCAGCUCCGCUCUGUCUUUCUGCCUCUGCUUCCUUCACAGCUCCGUGCCCUCCUUUGUUUCUCUUUGUUACCGUCGCCUACAGUGUCAUCAAUCUGGAAUGCAUGUCUGAUGCUUGCCACUACAUUAUUAAUGUGCACAGUGGCUUGAAAAGUAAAGGUUCACCAGACUAGUCCUGAGAAGACACCUCCUCCCCUGGCAAGAGUCUGCACCCCUGCCAUUAAUAUUUUGCUGAUGGUUUGGCAAUUGAGAGCUAUUAAUCAUGUUUCAGUCUUUCUAUUUAUGAAGACUUUUCUUCUGCUUCUUUAGAUGUGUGUGAUACUAUGUAAACCUUUGCAGAUAUGCAGGUGUACUAUGAGCUCAACCCUUGCUGCAGGUGAUACAGCUGGGGAAAGAUAGGAGAAAACACUCUCCUGCUGUGGUUUGAGUCUGUAUCAAAACAGAUUUUGGAGAAGCUCCAAGCUUUUCCAGGCCACAGUAGCAGCAAAAGAGUGGGUGAUGUGUGAAUCACAGAAUCACACAACGGCUUGGGUUGGAACAGACCUCAAAGCCCACACAGUCCCAGCCCCCUGCCAUGGGCAGGGCUGCCACCCACCAGAUCAGGCUGCCCAAGGCCCCAUCCAACCUGGCCUUGAGCACCUCGAGGGGUGGGGCAUAAAUGGGAUAGGGCGUGGAAUCAUUCCCCCUUUUCCUCACACCUACAACUUCAACAACCUCUCUGUACAGAACAAGAAGCUGUGAAGCCACCAACGUGGCACUAGAGUGACAGGUGUGCC
Molecule: long non-coding RNA, 1445 nt
Filed under: Gallus gallus (chicken)
Lineage: Eukaryota; Metazoa; Chordata; Aves; Galliformes; Phasianidae
Source: RNAcentral